GAGGGUAUAGCUCAGUGGUAGAGCGCAUGCUUAGCAUACAUGAGGUCCUGGGUUCAACCCCCAGUGCCUUCA
Molecule: transfer RNA, 72 nt
Filed under: Camelus dromedarius (Arabian camel)
Lineage: Eukaryota; Metazoa; Chordata; Mammalia; Artiodactyla; Camelidae
Also listed under: 2 other names
Rfam family: tRNA
About the family: Transfer RNA (tRNA) molecules are approximately 80 nucleotides in length. Their secondary structure includes four short double-helical elements and three loops (D, anti-codon, and T loops).
Source: Rfam by way of RNAcentral